RNAcentral lists this ribosomal RNA (468 nucleotides) under uncultured bacterium. Its description in RNAcentral is "partial 16S ribosomal RNA". It matches the Rfam family "Bacterial small subunit ribosomal RNA", at positions 28 to 507 of the family's 1533-position model. The record is from RNAcentral.
GACGAACGCUGGCGGCGUGCUUAACACAUGCAAGUCGAACGGAAAGGCCCUGCUUUUGUGGGGUGCUCGAGUGGCGAAGGGGUGAGUAACACGUGAGUAACCUGCCCUUGACUUUGGGAUAACUUCAGGAAACUGGGGCUAAUACCGGAUAGGAGCUCCUGCUGCAUGGGGUGGGUUGGAAAGUUUCGGCGGUUGGGGAUGGACUCGCGGCUUAUCAGCUUGUUGGUGUGGUAGUGGCGUACCAGGGCUUUGACGGGUAGCCGGCCUGAGAGGGUGACCGGCCACCUUGGGACUGCGAUAGGGACCAGACUCCUACGGGAGGCAGCAGUGGGGAAUAUUGCACAAUGGGCGGAAGCGUGAUGCAGCAACGCCGCGUGCGGGAUGACGGCCUUCGGGUUAUAAACAGCUUUCGACUGUGACGAAGAGUGAGUGACGGUAAUGGGUAAAGAAGCAACGGCUAACUACGUG